Molecule: ribosomal RNA, 254 nt
Filed under: uncultured bacterium
Lineage: Bacteria
Description: partial 16S ribosomal RNA
Rfam family: Bacterial small subunit ribosomal RNA
Source: RNAcentral
UACGGGGGGGGUAAGCGUUGUUCGGAAUUACUGGGCGUAAAGGGCUCGUAGGCGGCCAACUAAGUCAGACGUGAAAUCCCUCAGCUUAACUGGGGAACUGCGUCUGAUACUGGAUGGCUUGGAUUCGGGAGAGGAAUGCGGAAUUCCAGGUGUAGCGGUGAAAUGCGUAGAUAUCGAGAGGAACACCUGCGGCGAAGGCGGGUUGCUGGGCUGACACUGACGCUGACAGCGCGAAAGCUAGGGGAGCGAACGGG